UUAAGUUCAGCGGGUAGUCCUACCUGAUUUGAGGUCAAGCAUUCAAAGUUGUCCUAAGACGAUUAGAAGCUGAACAACACAGAGAGCAAUCCCCUCGCCAGUGUAGAUAAUUUAUCACACUUGUGGCAGAUCGCAAACGGUUCCGCUAAUACAUUUCAGAGGAGCUGACCUCAGUAAGUGGCCAGCAAGCCUCCACAAUC
This 200-nucleotide unclassified non-coding RNA is filed under the name Agaricus sp. Its description in RNAcentral is "partial internal transcribed spacer 2". The record is from RNAcentral. Lineage: Eukaryota; Fungi; Basidiomycota; Agaricomycetes; Agaricales; Agaricaceae.